RNAcentral lists this ribosomal RNA (516 nucleotides) under Oziotelphusa ceylonensis. RNAcentral describes it as "partial 16S ribosomal RNA". It matches the Rfam family "Bacterial large subunit ribosomal RNA", at positions 1832 to 2597 of the family's 2925-position model. The record is from RNAcentral. Lineage: Eukaryota; Metazoa; Arthropoda; Malacostraca; Decapoda; Parathelphusidae.
UCUAUUUGAAGAUAUAAGAAGUCUGACCUGCCCACUGAUGGAGUUAGUAGUUUAAGGGCCGCGGUAUUAUGACCGUGCAAAGGUAGCAUAAUCAUUAGGUUUUUAAAUGAGAUCUCGUAUGAAUGGUUUGACAAAGGAAAAGCUGUCUUUAAGUUAGUAUUUGAAUUUAACUUUUAAGUGAGAAGGCUUAAAUAUUUUAGUAGGACGAUAAGACCCUAUAAAGCUUUAUAUUGUAGUUGUAUUUAAUUGAAUUUUAUAGAUAAAAAUUUUAUAUAAUUAUUUAUUUUGUUGGGGAGACAUGAGUAAAAAUUAUAUUAACUGCUCAAAAAAUAAACAUUUAUUGAUGGGUAGGUUAUAGAUCCUAGAUAUAGAUUUUAAGAUUAAGUUACUUUAGGGAUAACAGUGUAAUUUUUUUUGAGAGUCCAUAUCGAAAAAAAAGUUUGCAACCUCGAUGUUGAAUUAAAUUGUCUAUAUAAUGUAGCUGUUAUAUAAGAAGGUCUGUUCGACCUUUAAUUU